This 71-nucleotide transfer RNA is filed under the name archaeon. RNAcentral describes it as "tRNA-Gln". It matches the Rfam family "tRNA". Rfam says of the family: Transfer RNA (tRNA) molecules are approximately 80 nucleotides in length. The record is from RNAcentral.
AGCUCUGUAGUCUAGUGGAAUGAUAUAAGACUCUGGAUCUUAUGGCCCAGGUUCGACCCCUGGCAGAGCUA